UCUGUGUAGACAGCAUUGGGGAGAUUCGAGCCAGCUCUGGAAGGAUAGCUGCAGUUGGAAUGGACAGCUCCCAAGCACACUGAUAGAAUCCCAUUCGAGGGCAGCCUUCAGGACCACCUCUGGGCUUCCUUUCAGCAGGGCUUUCUCUGAAGCCAGGAGUGACAUGAUCCAUUGCAGAGAAGCCCAGAAAUAUGGAGGAGCCACAUUUGCCAAGAGUUCUGCAGUUGAAACAGAAAAGCUUUAUCUGAUUUCUGAAUUCCAAGAUCAUACUGCACAGUGAGACUUCUGGGAGACUUAAAAGGGUGACUUCUUAAACAUGAUAUGAAUAGCAGCUGAAAAAAAUUGAUGAUAGUUGGAUGUGGUCAAUGUGAAGCGUUAACUAUGAAAGGAAGGCAGAAGGAAAAACUUACGACAAUUCAGUAUGGACUUUGUUUCUGGAUAGGGCCGGAGAAUCUGCAUUUUAACAACUGCCAGGCACCAAGAAUGCCGCUGACCUUCGAACCACACUGGGAGUGAAGCGUCUAGACCCAAGUUCUCAUUUUCAACUAACCGUAAAUAAAACUAUAAAACUAUCAUAAAAGAUGUUUUUUUUUUUAUACUUCUUUCAUUUUUGUGGAUUCUUCAUACUUUUUCUCUCUCUUUUUUUUAGCCAGAGAAAAUGCUAAAUGUUAUGCCUUUCAUUAAUGGAAGAAAACUGUAUUAUUAGGCUGUGAGAAAGUUCUGGAAAAGCACAUGUGGUUUAUUCCAGGAACUGGUCAUUAGAUUGCUCAUUCUUUCAUAUUUCUGGAAGGACCAGAAGCGUCAUUAGAAAAAUCACAUGAUCAGACUUGGUGAACAGGCCAUCCCAGGAGCCAAGUCCUAAAACGUGUCUGUUACUAAGCAUGAAAACCCUGUUCACAGUGAUGUUUUUCAUAACACGGAACCUGGUGAGGGAAGAGCAUGUUGAAAUGAUUUCAGCAUCUGCCUAAAAGGGCUCAAACAGUCCUUUUAAAAUGAAAAUCCCAGAUUAAUUGCGGGGGAUUUUUGUUGUCGUAUAUUUUGAGCCUUAGAAUGGCACGACCCUGAUGAAGAAGGGGGGUGGCGCUUGUCCACGAGGACAGCACUUGUUUUUCCCAGUGUCCUGGCCCAAUGCUCAUCACCUGGCCAACGAGGGGUGGGUUUCUCGCCUGCAGCAGAUGAAAAACACCCUGGGAUUAAAUCAGCCCGGUGUGGGAAGCAUCCUGUCUGCUGGUGACCCCCAAGGCUGCUGAGCUGAGAUCCCGGCUGCCAAAGAUGUGUUGACAAGAGUGCGUGUCUGCUUCUUCUCCCAGUGUCUGAUGUGGCUUCGGUGUCAGACGCAGGGCAGACAGGCAGGGGGGGAAGCUGGCACGGGGGAACAGGGGACGGGAAAAACUGCUAGACAACUUCUCUGGCAGAAGCUUAGCUGUUAAAACUUUUGCUGUCGGAGGGAAUUUUUAAGAAAUGGAGCCGGCGAAAUGAUGAAUUGGAAACGUGUUUCCUUUGAGAGAAUUGAACGCCGUCUCCUUAGAGACUCUUGAGACUGGGAUUCCGAUGGUUUGAGGUCCCCCCUUCUCACUGUGUCCUGAGACCUGACUAGGAAUGACCUGUCAUUGCUCGGAACACACAGAAGCCCAUGCAGUAGGGGAAAAUGUGCAAAAGGAGCAGUUAAACAGUCAUCUCCAAGGCUAGACGAUAGUGUUGCAUCAAUAAUCGCUUCCUGAUUUUGAUAAGGGCACUCAGAGAUAUCCUUCUUAGGAAAUGCACGCUUAGUAAAGAAGCAUCUUG
This is a non-coding RNA of Microcebus murinus (gray mouse lemur), 1785 nucleotides long. The record is from RefSeq and is a predicted model, not a curated record. Lineage: Eukaryota; Metazoa; Chordata; Mammalia; Primates; Cheirogaleidae.